GUCUUUUUGGUAUUUAAUAUAAAGUCUGACCUGCCCACUGAAUAUAGUUUGAAGGGCCGCAGUAUUUUGACUGUGCAAAGGUAGCAUAAUCAUUAGUCUUUUAAUUGAAGGCUGGUAUGAAUGGUUGGAUGAGAUACAAGCUGUGUCAUAAAAAUUAAUAUUUGAAUUUACCUUUUUAGUCAAAAGGCUAAAAUAAUCUUAAAAGACGAGAAGACCCCAUAGAGCUUUAUAUAAUUAAUAUUUAAGUUAUUAAGAUUUUUAAAAUUUAAUUAUUAAAUUAUAUUUUGUUGGGGUGACAAUAAAAUUUAUAAAACUUUUAUUUUUAUUUAACAUUAAUUUAUGAUUAAAUGAUCCAGUUUUAUUGAUUAUAAAUUUAAGUUACCUUGGGGAUAACAGCGUAAUUUUUUUUGAGAGUUCUUAUCGACAAAAAAGAUUGCGACCUCGAUGUUGGAUUAAGAGUAAUUUUGGGUGUAGAAGUUCAAAGUUUAAGUCUGUUCGACUUUUAAAUUCUUACAU
Molecule: ribosomal RNA, 516 nt
Filed under: Simulium uchidai
Lineage: Eukaryota; Metazoa; Arthropoda; Insecta; Diptera; Simuliidae
Description: partial 16S ribosomal RNA
Rfam family: Bacterial large subunit ribosomal RNA
Source: RNAcentral